This 87-nucleotide transfer RNA is filed under the name Limnochordaceae bacterium. RNAcentral describes it as "tRNA-Leu". It matches the Rfam family "tRNA". Rfam says of the family: Transfer RNA (tRNA) molecules are approximately 80 nucleotides in length. Their secondary structure includes four short double-helical elements and three loops (D, anti-codon, and T loops). Further hydrogen bonds mediate the characteristic L-shaped molecular structure. tRNAs have two regions of fundamental functional importance: the anti-codon, which is responsible for specific mRNA codon recognition, and the 3' end, to which the tRNAs corresponding amino acid is attached (by aminoacyl-tRNA synthetases). tRNAs cope with the degeneracy of the genetic code in two manners: having more than one tRNA (with a specific anti-codon) for a particular amino acid; and 'wobble' base-pairing, i.e. permitting non-standard base-pairing at the 3rd anti-codon position. Lineage: Bacteria; Bacillati; Bacillota; Limnochordia; Limnochordales; Limnochordaceae. The record is from RNAcentral.
GCGGGCGUGGCGGAACCGGCAGACGCGGCAGGCUUAGGACCUGCUGGGCGAAAGCCCUUGGGGGUUCGAGUCCCUUCGCCCGCACCA